AGGGUUUCACCAUGUUGGCCAGGCUGAUCUUAAAUUCCUAACCUCGUGAUCUGCCCACCUCAGCCUCCCAAAGAUUACAGGCGUGAGGCACAGUGCCAGGCCUUGUUUGAUGUUUUCAGAUUCACACUUUAUCUUACAUGUAGAAUGGCCGAAUUACUUACUUCUUUAUGUUCUACAGGUCUUUGUUCAUACUAGAAUAGCAUUUAUUAUCCCAAAGGUCAUGGUUUGACUGCUUUUGUGUUCCAUGCACACUGUAGGCACUCAGUAAAGAGCUGCCUUGGUUUUUUGCUUGGCGGUCUUAAUAGACGCAUUUUAUACUGAGGUUUUAAACUGUCGUCAUUGCUAAAAACUAGAUUUGUCAACUUGUUUAGUACCUCAUCAUCGGCUUACUGUGGAUUCUGCUACCUUGACCAACAAGGUAGCAGAGUUUUAACUAUAAUUUCUUCUUUAAUAAGACGUUUUCUGAGGCAGGUAAACUGGAAGUAUAUUGAUACUUCUUAUACAGUAGAAUAUGAAAGUGUGGCACGUGGCAUCUUGAAAGUACUUUAAAUUGUGUACCUUUGAGUUCUACACUGAAAAAUAAAACGGCUACAAACAACUUGACACCCUUUCCUGCCCUCAAAUUGUUUAGAACUGAAAAUAGUGUUUCGUUGUACAUAUUUGUAUGCCAUAAAGUAAAAUUUUUUUAACAUCAGGAAACAUCUAAAUAUAUUACCAGUUCUUUAAGAAUAAACCCCCCUUCCCUUAUGUAUUAUACUAUUACUAAUUACUUU
Cebus imitator (Panamanian white-faced capuchin) is the source of this 773-nucleotide long non-coding RNA. RefSeq lists it as uncharacterized. The transcript has 2 exons. The record is from RefSeq and is a predicted model, not a curated record. Lineage: Eukaryota; Metazoa; Chordata; Mammalia; Primates; Cebidae.